GUGGGAACGACAUUGAGGACCUGGAAGUGGAGUUGCUCUCAAACGGAAUAGCAAAUCCUAACUGUACACUUGAAACCGUAAGGUUGUCAUUUUGUAGUAUCACAGUAAAAGGCUGCAGUCAUGUGGAUUCAGCACUGAGCUCCAAUCCUUCCCACAUGAGGCUGCUGGACCUUAGAUAUAAUUAUCUGCAGGACUUUGGAGUGAAUCUUAUCUCAGUUCUGCUUAACAAUCCACUUUGUAAACUAGAACAUCUAAGUGUGGAUCAUAAUGAAGAAUGUUAUCUGAAAUCAACACUUAAAAACUGUGGGCCAACAGGAGUCUCUCUAGGACCUUCAUGAUGUGAGAUGUCAGGGCAACAGGUC
Long non-coding RNA from Girardinichthys multiradiatus, 362 nucleotides. RefSeq lists it as uncharacterized. The record is from RefSeq and is a predicted model, not a curated record. Lineage: Eukaryota; Metazoa; Chordata; Actinopteri; Cyprinodontiformes; Goodeidae. The transcript has 4 exons.